GUCUCAAGGAACUAUUGUUAUCUUUUGCCAGGACAGAAGCUUCUAAAUCUGCAGGAAGACCUUUCCUCUCGAAAUCCUGCCCACAUGAUUUACCUACCAACAUGACUGCACAGUAAAGUUCAGAAGGCACUGAAGAAACCUGAAGCUUAAUGCUGACACAAUGUGAGCAGUAGAUGGCAAUGUCACAACAUAUCCAUCACUUCUACUCAUGGGAUCAAGGGUGUUGGGAUCAUGGAUGUAGUCACCAUUUCUGCAUCACCAUCUACCAAGGUGGCAGUGGAAGGUGGAGUUUGCAAUGGAGUUGAGCUCAGGUGACAGACUGCUUCACUCCUGGAAGCAUUCCAGUUCACGGUGAUUUUCCAUCCUGGAUCUGCAUAAACUACCGGGAUAGACAAGCCCGUGUAAUCUUUCAGAAAUUCCUCAUCAGCUGUGACAUGUUUGAAUUCCUUCCAAGGUACCCAAGCCUAUUAACUUUCCACUUUCAACCUUCAUCCUCCUCCUCUCUGGGCAACUGUUGUUAGCUGCCUUUCUUGCCCUCUGCUGCCCUCCCUCUAGCAGGCAGGAGGAGAGUGUACAUCAUGCUGACAUCUACAGCAGGACAGUGCUCAUUGUCAAGUCAAACAUCAGGCAGAUGUAUGGUUGUACAGCAAUGAA
Non-coding RNA from Zootoca vivipara (common lizard), 654 nucleotides. The record is from RefSeq and is a predicted model, not a curated record. NCBI's taxonomy places the organism in Eukaryota, Metazoa, Chordata, Lepidosauria, Squamata, Lacertidae.